Molecule: ribosomal RNA, 497 nt
Filed under: uncultured bacterium
Lineage: Bacteria
Description: partial 16S ribosomal RNA
Rfam family: Bacterial small subunit ribosomal RNA
Source: RNAcentral
GACGAACGCUGGCGGCGUGCCUAAUACAUGCAAGUCGAGCGAUGACGCUUGGUGCUUGCACCCAUUUGAAGAGCAGCGAACGGGUGAGUAACGCGUGGGUAAUCUGCCUUUGAGCGGGGGACAACAUCUGGAAACGAAUGCUAAUACCGCAUAACAACUUUAACCAUAAGUUUCAAGUUUGAAAGAUGCCUUUGCCUCACUCAAAAAUGGUCCCGCGUUUUAUUAGCUGGUUGGGGAGGGAAAGGCCCACCAAGGCGAUGAUACAUAGCCGGCCUGGGAGGGUGGACGGCCAAAUUGGGAAUGGGACACGGCCCAAGCGCCUACGGGGGGGAGCAGGAGGGAAACUUCGGCAAAGGACGAAAAGCUGAACGAGGAACGCCGGGGGGGGGGAGGAGGGUCUCGGAUCGUAAAACUCUGUUGGUAGAGAAGGAAGAUGGGGAGAGUGAAAAGCUCAUGAAGUGACGGUAACUAAACAGAAAGGGACGGCUAACUACGUG